Molecule: long non-coding RNA, 678 nt
Organism: Tympanuchus pallidicinctus (lesser prairie-chicken)
Lineage: Eukaryota; Metazoa; Chordata; Aves; Galliformes; Phasianidae
Exons: 2
Source: RefSeq, a predicted model, not a curated record
GGAGGCGCGGCUCUGGGCUGUUGAGAGGGGGUUGGAAGAGCGGGAGCGGCUCGCACGGCUGUGGCUGAGCCGGUGGUGCGCGUAUGGCGGCGGGCAGAGGGCGUUCCGUGUCUGUGAGCAGAGCGGUGCUGACAGGGAGCGGGCCGCGUCCUUCCGCUGGCCUGUGACGAACCGUUCCCUUCGGCAGCAGCGUGCGGACGCAGCUUAGAGCCGUACGUUGGAAGGGACCGCUAAAGGUCGGUUCCCCCACACUGGCCGACCUCUGCCAUCGCUGGGCCGGCCGUGCUGUCCGCACGUGCGUCCCCUCGUGUUUUACGUGCUUACUUCCCAAAGCCUCGCAGUGGCAUGAAAGGAAGAAGCCUUUGCAGACCAGCGGGUGGCAUUUUGUGUUGCUUUGCUGUGGGCCUCCUGAAUUCUGUCCCCCCCAGCCUGGAUCGCAUUGGCCAUUUCUGCAAGACAAGAACAAGCACCGUGCUGAAACACCUGGGGUCUGAAUGCAGUUCUGAGUGACAAAAGCAAAGCUUUAUGUGGUGAUGGAAUCAUGACAGAAUAGGAAUCUGACAGUACUGCCAAAAAAAGUUGUGUCUUGUCACUUACUGGAAAAUUAGGAUCUGUGCAAAGGAACAGCAGCAUGGAUAUCUUCUUUGGGAAUAAACUGUGAGAUAUAGUUCCUAGAAA